GCACAAACCGCUCUGCGCACGUGUGCAGAUGCAGCACUUUGCCCUGUGUCCUUCUCAGCUAGUGGCCGGGGCUCCAGAACAGAUCCCAGUCAUGAAACAAGGUAUGACUGUACUCUGCUGAUCAUAAUUACGGGUUGGGUCCUAAGGUGCAUUUCUACAUGCAGGACAUAGUUAACCUAUGAAACUCACUCCUAUAGGAGGCAGUGAUGGCCACCAACCUAGAUGGCUUUCCAUGAGGAGUAGACCAAUUUAUGGAAGGACUAUUGAAGGCUACUGGCCAUGAUGACUCUGCUCUGCUCUCACUGCUGAAGGCAAUGCUUCUGAAUUCCAGUUGCUGGAAACUCUGGAGGGGAGAGUGCUCUUGUGCUCAAAUCCUGCUUGCUGGUUUCCAAAAGGCAACCACUGUGAGAACAGCAUGCUGUACUGAAUGGUCCAUUGGCCUGAUCCAGCAGGCUCUUCUUAUGUUAUUAUAAGAACACCCCUCUUUUAUAGGUAGAAGCACAAAAACUACUAUAGGACCUACAUACCAAUUCACAAAGUAUUCUGCAUGCUGCUGUGGAACAUAACUUGUAGAUAUUUUCUAUCUAGCUCAUGGUUCUUUGGAUCCAACCAUACAAUUGAAAGAGUAUCUUCUUAAACCAUGUGUGUACAACCUCCUUGCCUCUGCACACAUGAUGAAAAAGAAAUGAUGUUCCUGUUAAUGUAAUUAUGAUCAAUAAGCACUUGCAUAAAUAGUUGCCUCACUUUGUUAUAGGGUGGAAAUGGAUACUAAACUUUUUGCAUAUAGCUACUUCAGCGGUAACAGGUGAAAUGGCCUCAAGUACCUUUUCCAUCCUUGCAAUUACCUUUAAUUGGAGACGUGAAUAAAAAUGAGUGCUGCAGUGAAAAGAGUAAGUAUAUUUUUCCAAAGAAAUAUUCUCCAGGGCACAUAGUAUGAAUGCUAAUUAUCUGACAGAACAUGAACUCUUUUCUCAGGGAAAAAGAAGGCUUAGCCACAAAAAGAAGGUGGUAUAAUUAUAUCAGCUGUUUGGGGGUGGGUGAUUUUUGUCCUGCAAUUCCCCCCCCCAGAAAGUACUAGACAUUAAGCCCAAAAAAGGUUUUAGGGAGUUAUGUAGAAUACCAACACAUAGUAAUGUUUGGGUGAAGUCAUAUGCAGCUCUGUUAUUGAUAGAGGAUGUAUCUUUUAUAGUAAUUUAUGAACUCACCCACACCAUCCUUACACUAACUGGAAAUGAGCUGAUCUAUUUAUAAUUAUUGUUAUUAUUUUAGCAACCUCUAUCCAGUUUAAUGCUAUAGAAAUAAACCUGAAAGUAGCUUACAUGAAAAAUUUCAUACCGUACAUAAAACACAUCCACUAUAAUACAAAAAUCAAAACUAUUAGUAGUAGAUUCAAAAAAUCAAUCACAGGACUGCAGCACUAAACCAAACUUCUUUUUUAAUAGCCAUGUGUUGGCUUGACAACAAUAAAACAAUAAAAUGUCAGGACCUGGGAAGUCUCUCUAGGAUGACAUUCCACGGAGUAGGCACCACUACUAAAAAGGCCCUGUACCUUGCAGUAAGGCCUCAGAUGUUGAACAGAGUAUAGAAGAAAAGUGGUUCUUUGAAUACCCAGGUCCCAAGUUGUUUAGGACUUUAAAAAUCAAAACAAGCAAAGGUUUUUUUAAAAGGUAAAAUGCAAACCAGUUAUUUUCUGAGCUAAUCCAAUGAUCUUUGGAAAUGAACUCCUUCCUAUCAGCUGUGGGAGUGUUCUCAACUCUUCUCUUUACUUAGCUGCAAAUGGAGAAGGUAGCAAUAUCAGCAGGAACUUUCUCCACAGUAGGCUCUGGACCUCAGCCAAGAAAGAGCUCUGCAACUCUGAAAAGAUAUCCAU
Non-coding RNA from Podarcis lilfordi (Lilford's wall lizard), 1870 nucleotides. The record is from the annotation of a GenBank genome assembly. Lineage: Eukaryota; Metazoa; Chordata; Lepidosauria; Squamata; Lacertidae.